ACUGUGAAUCAGUUCAGUUCGAAAAUUAAAUACAAAAAUUUAGGUUCUCAAAAAUGCGAGCCAAAUGGCGAAAGAAGCGAAUGCGUCGACUAAAGCGCAAGCGCCGCAAGAUGCGCGCAAGAUCCAAAUAGGCAGAAGGACAUACGCAGUACAUUGAAUAGAAAAAGUUCACAUUUUUGGUUUCCCAAAAAACAAUUUCGUUACACCCGUUGAUAAAUUUUUAAAUUCUCAAGAUAUUUUAAGGCAUCAGAGUGUUUAUAUAAGCAAUAAUCCAGUUAAUUACUGAAAAUAAAGCAAUAAUCCAAAAAAUAA
Molecule: long non-coding RNA, 312 nt
Organism: Scaptodrosophila lebanonensis
Lineage: Eukaryota; Metazoa; Arthropoda; Insecta; Diptera; Drosophilidae
Exons: 2
Source: RefSeq, a predicted model, not a curated record